ACGGGGGGAGCAGGCGUUGUUCGGAUUUACUGGGCGUAAAGGGCGCGUAGGCGGCCACCGCAAGUCACUUGUGAAAUCUCCGGGCUUAACCCGGAAAGGUCAACUGAUACUGCGGGGCUAGAGUGCAGAAGGGGCAACUGGAAUUCUCGGUGUAGCGGUGAAAUGCGUAGAUAUAGGAAGGAACACCAGUGGCGAAGGCGACCACCUGGACUGAUACUGACACUGAGGUGCGAAAGCGUGGGGAGCAAACAGGA
RNAcentral lists this ribosomal RNA (254 nucleotides) under uncultured prokaryote. RNAcentral describes it as "partial 16S ribosomal RNA". It matches the Rfam family "Bacterial small subunit ribosomal RNA", at positions 525 to 777 of the family's 1533-position model. The record is from RNAcentral.